Habropoda laboriosa is the source of this 73-nucleotide non-coding RNA. The record is from Rfam. Lineage: Eukaryota; Metazoa; Arthropoda; Insecta; Hymenoptera; Apidae.
GAGUAAUUAGCGUAGUGCGCAAAGCCUCGGCUUGCUAAGCCGAAGGUCCCGGGUUCGAUUCCCGGUUGGGUCC